GGAGUCUAGCAUGUGUGCAAGUCAUUGAGCUUUACGACACUCAAAGGCGAGGUGAUAGCAAAGACUUGUUUUAUGCAAGUUUAGAUGUGAUCCCGGUUGUCCAAGUGACACUAGGCGCAACAUCGGCCCGGCUUAAUGUGUCUGUCACAGGGGCGGUGUAAGAGCGUACAUGCUGAAGCCCGAAAGAUGGUGAACUAUGCUUGCGCAGGUUGAAGCCAGAGGAAACUCUGGUGGAGGACCGUAGCGAUUCUGACGUUCAAAUCGAUCGUCAGACGUGAGUAUAGGGGCGAAAGACUAAUCGAACCAUCUAGUAGCUGGUUCCCUCCGAAGUUUCCCUCAGGAUAGCUGGCAUACAUGAAUCAAACAGUUUUAUCCGGUAAAGCGAAUGAUUAGAGGUAUUGGGGACGAAAUGUCCGCAACCUAUUCUCAAACUUUAAAUGGGUGAGAAGCUGAACUCUCUUAAUUGGAGAGCUCAUAAGAUACCACACAAGGUGUUGGUUGAUAUAGACAGCAGGACGGUGUCCAUGGAAGCUGGAAUCCCCUAAGGAGUGUGUAACAACUCACCUGCCUUGGCAUUGAAUGUGUGUGCCUAGUGGGCCAUUUUUGGUAAGCAGAACUGGCGCUGUGGGAUGAACCCAACGUCUAGUUAAAGUGCCUAACACCAGAAUCAACCAGCCCUGAAAAUGGAUGGCGCUGAGCGUUGGACUCAUACUAGACCAACACUGUCAUGGAUUGACUGGAUACAGUGUUGAGUAGGAGGGUCGCCGUGGUGAGCGUUGAAGCUUCGUCUGUGAAGGCGUGUGGAGCCGCCACGGGUGCAGAUCUUGGUGGUAGUA
Molecule: ribosomal RNA, 836 nt
Filed under: Monocelis lineata
Lineage: Eukaryota; Metazoa; Platyhelminthes; Proseriata; Monocelididae
Description: eukaryotic LSU rRNA
Rfam family: Eukaryotic large subunit ribosomal RNA
Source: RNAcentral